Long non-coding RNA from Drosophila guanche, 1745 nucleotides. RefSeq lists it as uncharacterized. NCBI's taxonomy places the organism in Eukaryota, Metazoa, Arthropoda, Insecta, Diptera, Drosophilidae. The record is from RefSeq and is a predicted model, not a curated record. The transcript has 2 exons.
UACAAUAUACCCUAUUUACUCCUCGAGUACCGGGUAUAAUUAUUGAAAUAUCUGUUAUAAACAUCAAUCAAAGCGAAAUACUAAAAGUCAUGCGCACGUCAUAAAAUGUAAUCACAUUUGUGUGUUGGAUUGGUCUCGCCUUUUAAAUAUAGUUUACAUCUGUCUAUUUAUUGUUCAUUUAAUUCGAAAUUGUUUGUCCAAAGCCAUGUUCUUGGAAUGGCAUUCCACCUCCCAAUAUUUACAUAAGUCAAAACAUUGAUCAAACAUGCUGCAGAAUAUUUGCCAUACUAAAUACUCACUGUACCACAAGUUAAAAAUUCAAGUCUCAUGAGAAGAACAAAACACCCCUGCAGCGAACAUUUGAUAGAACAAAUAUAUUCGUGCACUGGCUUAAAUGAAAAUUUGCACAAUAAUAACUAAGCAAUUAGCUAUUUCAAUGUAUUACUUCCAAGUAGGGAAAAUGGAGUUAUUCUCAAAUAACUCAAUGGAAUAAAUGUACCCUUGUCUGAUCUGUAAACUGAAUUCAGUUUUACCCGAAUAGCUUUGCCCACUUUGAAAACAUUACAAAUUUGAGCAGAGAAGACAGCAUAUAAGAUUUGAUUUUAUUUCUAUAAAUUAUGAAUUGAUAUAUUCAGAGAAUUCAGAACAGUACUCUGAACCUAUUGGAUUCGUAUACCUCCCCUUACUUUGCCCUUUUGCCCACACUCGCUCAUCGAACAAGACAUAAUACAAAUGUUAAUAUUUAUAGCCAAUUAUUAGUUAAAAGAGUAAAACCACCACAAAUGAACAAAGCAAAACGCGAGAGUCGUCGAACGAAAGGAGCAACAAGGAGACAAAAACAAAUGAUAGCAAAACUCAGAACCUGUAUUUAUUUACAGAAAAGCUUAAUGAUUAUAUAUUUUAGACAUUUUGUGUUUGUGUCGGAAGAAAGUGCAUUUUGCUGCGAUUUAUUUUGUACAACAUAUACGAAAGCAACAGAGAGCGCGAGAGCGAAAGAGAGAGAGAUAGAGAGAGAUAGAUAGUAAGGUUCAUAUAUAACAUAUUUAUGUUGACAUAUUUUUGUAAAAUUGGAAAAUUGCAAAUUGCUUUUAGCACAGUCAUCAGCAAUAAAUCAAUCAAACAAUCACUCGGAUCACGAUCAAUGAAUGAUUCCCUCCCACACACACACACACACACACACACACACAUAUGCAUACAACAGACACGCAUAGUAUUUUAUACACACACACAGUAUGUACUAUAUACAUACAUACAUACGUGCAUACAUACAUAUUUAUGUAUUAUGUAAUAGCCACAUAUUUAUGUGCAAAUAAAUUAAUGAAUUUUUGUGUUUUUUUUUCGAUUAUGUACGAGUAUGUAUGUAUAUUUAUUAGCGAAAAGCUCAUAAAAACCUAUGAUUAAAACUAUUAUAAUGCCUGUGUUUUUGUUUUGUUUUUGUAUAAAAUGCAAAAGUGAAAACGUAUGCAGACAUCUAUGUAUCUGUACGUAUGAAAAUAUAUUUAUGUAUGUUUAGAAUCGUUUAGAUGUAAGAAAACGAUCCACUGGAAGCAGCAUCAACAAAUAGAACUGACGUGCCUAUGUAGCGAUUAAAUCAGACACAUGCCCAAACCCCCACAAAACACACACACACACACACACACACACUCACACACCAGCACACCCACAUACACGCCACACCGAAAACAACUGAUGUAAUGCAUUAAAUAAUCAUUCCAAAAUGUCAUAUGAAAUGAAGCAAACAAAAA